Molecule: long non-coding RNA, 576 nt
Organism: Homalodisca vitripennis (glassy-winged sharpshooter)
Lineage: Eukaryota; Metazoa; Arthropoda; Insecta; Hemiptera; Cicadellidae
Exons: 2
Source: RefSeq, a predicted model, not a curated record
UAAACUUUUUAUGUUCAUUUCAGUGUAAUUGGCACAAUUAAAGUACCCAUUUCUCGAGAAGUCAUUAAACAGGUGAAGGUAUCCACAUGGAACUAAUUUAUCUGGUAGAUCAAUCUUAAGAGCUCAGAAGUGUUUACAACCUACUGUGCAGUUACUAAACAGCUUAUUUGAGGCUCUGAAGUAACACAAUGCAGAAGAUGUUGUAUUCAUUAGUAAUCCUACACGUGUUACUAACAACGUUGACUUUAGUUAUUUGUGAUAACAAUAAGGAAGAAAUCUGCACAGAAACAGCACCCAUUUCUGAAAGUUCAAGCAUAAAGGAACCAACUGAACAUAAUAAAGUAUCAAAUAAAAAGUUUCUUCCCCGUUCCUCCCGCGGGAAAAAAGUUGGAUCAGAUUUACUUCAUGUAGGAGGAUAUAUUAAAGUGCAUAUAUGAAGAGUGGUAAUGGAGGAGGCGGCAGAUGUCACUAGUAUCCACCACGUGGUGUCUAUGGAGCAUCGCCACCUGAAAUAUACUACGUCAAGUCUUCUGUUUGUAAUAACUGCUAAUAAUUGGAAUUAAACUAAACUACCCA